AUGGGCAAGUUAUCAAAAGUCAGACGGUGGGAGAAUGGGGAGAUUGCAGCUAUGCCAUAACUCUGCAGUACAGGCAAGACAUUGUCCAGAUACCAGUUAGCUGAAGCAUGAACAGGUGCCAUCUUAAUUCUGGUGUCUCGAAUAGCAGUGGCAUAAUAUUCCCGUGUGCUCCAGGAAAACUCAUCAGGCAACUCUUUAACUAUAAGAAUGUCAUUCUUCAACACAUCAAUAAAGUGAUCGACAUCAAAUAUAUCCAUGAAUGAGCUUGAAU
RNAcentral lists this unclassified non-coding RNA (271 nucleotides) under Hevea brasiliensis (rubber tree). Lineage: Eukaryota; Viridiplantae; Streptophyta; Magnoliopsida; Malpighiales; Euphorbiaceae. The record is from RNAcentral.